RNAcentral lists this ribosomal RNA (465 nucleotides) under uncultured bacterium. Its description in RNAcentral is "partial 16S ribosomal RNA". It matches the Rfam family "Bacterial small subunit ribosomal RNA", at positions 339 to 795 of the family's 1533-position model. The record is from RNAcentral.
CUACGGGAGGCAGCAGUGGGGAAUAUUGGACAAUGGGGGAAACCCUGAUCCAGCAAUGCCGCGUGUGUGAAGAAGGCCUGCGGGUUGUAAAGCACUUUCGGUUGGGAGGACUGCUUCUAGCACUAAUAUUGUUGGAAGUUGACGUUACCUUCAGAAGAAGCACCGGCUAACUCCGUGCCAGCAGCCGCGGUAAUAGGGAGGGUGCAAGCGUUAAUCGGAAUUACUGGGCGUAAAGCGCGCGUAGGCGGCUUGAUCAGUCGGGUGUGAAAGCCCCGGGCUUAACCUGGGAACUGCAUCCGAUACUGUCUAGCUUGAGUAAGGGAGAGGAGAGUGGAAUUCCACAUGUAGCGGUGAAAUGCGUAGAUAUGUGGAGGAACACCAAUGGCGAAGGCAGCUCUCUGGCCUGAUACUGACGCUGAGGUGCGAAAGCGUGGGGAGCAAACAGGAUUAGAUACCCUCGUAGUC